GAGGUCCGCAGCCAGGGAGGACGACAGCAUCCGCCCUUUCAAGGUGGAAACGUCAGAUGAGGAGAUCCACGACUUACACCAGAGGAUCGAUAAGUUCCGUUUCACCCCACCUUUGGAGGACAGCUGCUUCCACUAUGGCUUCAACUCCAACUACCUGAAGAAAGUCAUCUCCUACUGGCGGAAUGAAUUUGACUGGAAGAAGCAGGUGGAGAUUCUCAACAGAUACCCUCACUUCAAGACUAAGAUUGAAGGUAUGUUUGCAAAACGCCAGCCAGAGAGGGAUGUAUGUCAUGAGAACAGCCUUCUUCCACAAUGUGACUUACAGUCAGAUAAAGUUGGAGAGAUUCAGAACCCAAUUAUAGGUCACUGAGAUGUACUUAUACGUUGUAACCUUACUAAAUGCAAAAAUAUUGCAGUCACAACAAAUCUGUCCAUCUUUAGAGGUAGGCAGGAAC
RNAcentral lists this small RNA (455 nucleotides) under Pan troglodytes (chimpanzee). Its description in RNAcentral is "processed transcript". The record is from RNAcentral. Lineage: Eukaryota; Metazoa; Chordata; Mammalia; Primates; Hominidae.